RNAcentral lists this ribosomal RNA (495 nucleotides) under uncultured bacterium. RNAcentral describes it as "partial 16S ribosomal RNA". It matches the Rfam family "Bacterial small subunit ribosomal RNA", at positions 29 to 507 of the family's 1533-position model. The record is from RNAcentral.
ACGAACGCUGGCGGCGCGUCUUAAGCCUGCCGGUCGAACGGCAAGAGAGGAGCUUGCUUCUCUCCUAGAGUGGCGGACUGGUGAGGAACACGUGGGUAAUCUACCCUUAAGAUGGGGAUAGCUGCUAGAAAUAGCAGGUAAUACCGAAUACACUCGGCAUAUCACAAGAGGUGUUGAGGAAAGGAAGCUACGGCUUCGCUUGAGGAUGAGCUUGCGUCCCAUUAGCUAGUUGGUGAGGUAAAGGCCCACCAAGGCGACGAUGGGUAUCCGGCCUGAGAGGGUGAACGGACACAUUGGGACUGAGAUACGGCCCAAACUCCUACGGGAGGCAGCAGCUAAGAAUAUUCCGCAAUGGACGGAAGUCUGACGGAGCGACGCCGCGUGGAUGAAGAAGGCUGAAAAGUUGUAAAAUCCUUUUGUUGAUGAAGAAUAAGGGUGAGAGGGAAUGCUCAUCUGAUGACGGUAAUCGACGAAUAAGCCCCGGCUAAUUACGUG